This 336-nucleotide ribosomal RNA is filed under the name uncultured bacterium. RNAcentral's name for it is "partial 16S ribosomal RNA". It matches the Rfam family "Bacterial small subunit ribosomal RNA", at positions 338 to 666 of the family's 1533-position model. The record is from RNAcentral.
CCUACGGGAGGCAGCAGUAGGGAAUCUUCCACAAUGGGCGAAAGCCUGAUGGAGCAACGCCGCGUGGGUGAAGAAGGUUUUCGGAUCGUAAAACCCUGUUGUUAGAGAAGAAAGUGCGUGAGAGUAACUGUUCACGUUUCGACGGUAUCUAACCAGAAAGCCACGGCUAACUACGUGCCAGAAGCCUCGGUAAUACGUAGGUGGCAAGCGUUAUCCGGAUUUAUUGGGCGUAAAGGGAACGCAUGCGGUCUUGUAAGUCUGAUGUGAAAGCCUUCGGCUUAACCGGAGUAGUGCAUUGGAAACUGGGAGACUUGAGUGCAGGAGAGGAGAGUGGAA